AGGGGUGUCGCCAAGCGGUAAGGCACGGGACUUUGACUCCCGCAUUCGUUGGUUCAAAUCCAGCCACCCCUGCCA
Molecule: transfer RNA, 75 nt
Filed under: Candidatus Stercoripulliclostridium merdipullorum
Lineage: Bacteria; Bacillati; Bacillota; Clostridia; Eubacteriales
Description: tRNA-Gln
Rfam family: tRNA
About the family: Transfer RNA (tRNA) molecules are approximately 80 nucleotides in length. Their secondary structure includes four short double-helical elements and three loops (D, anti-codon, and T loops).
Source: RNAcentral